GCCGCCGGAGGUUCUUGAGGAGUGGGGGAACACGGACUGAACGUUUCUGUAGAAAAAUGAUCCAGACAACGGGAUAGAGGCCUUGAGGAGGGACUUAAAUGUCUGGAACGGCUGUCAAGAGCAAGGGGCAUGGGCACCGAUAAGGAUGGAGAAAUAAAUUGGCCGGGCAGAAUACAAGCACGCCGAGAUAAACUCGAAGUUGACGAGCUUGGCCCGAUAUCUAGGCUUCGGCCGGCAGCGCCCUGCGGCUCGUGCCCGGGAGUGAAGCAAGUGGAGCUUGGAGGUGAUCCAACGAUGUGGGGGAGAGGUGAGAGAUCGACGAAGUGAUGGGGAGCGAGUGAGGGGUUCAAGCUGCAGAGAAGCAGGAUGGCCUAGCGGGAAAAGCACUGGCUUGGAAAUCACAGGACUUGGGUUCAAAUCCCAAAUCUGCCACUUGACCACUCUGUGACCUCGGACGAGUCCCUUGACUCGUAAGUGUGAUGUGGGCAGGGAACGUUUCUGUUUAUUCUUACGUUGUACUGCUUAGUAAAGCGCUGUGCACACGGUCAGCGCUCAGUAAAUACGAUUAAUGAAUAAACGAAUGACUUGAA
This is a long non-coding RNA of Ornithorhynchus anatinus (platypus), 590 nucleotides long. RefSeq lists it as uncharacterized. The record is from RefSeq and is a predicted model, not a curated record. Lineage: Eukaryota; Metazoa; Chordata; Mammalia; Monotremata; Ornithorhynchidae. The transcript is spliced from 2 exons.